AUUGAACGCUGGCGGCAGGCUUAACACAUGCAAGUCGAGCGGGGUGAUGGUGCUUGCACUAUCACUUAGCGGCGGACGGGUGUGUAAUGCUUAGGAAUCUGCCUAUUAGUGGGGGACAACAUCUCGAAAGGGAUGCUAAUACCGCACACGUCCUACGGGAGAAAGCAGGGGAUCACUUGUGACCUUGCGCUAAUAGAUGAGCCUAAGUCGGAUUAGCUAGUUGGUGGGGUAAAGGCCUACCAAGGCGACGAUCUGUAGCGGGUCUGAGAGGAUGAUCCGCCACACUGGGACUGAGACACGGCCCAGACUCCUACGGGAGGCAGCAGUGGGGAAUAUUGGACAAUGGGGGGAACCCUGAUCCAGCCAUGCCGCGUGUGUGAAGAAGGCCUUACGGUUGUAAAGCACUUUAAGCGAGGAGGAGGCUCUUUUGGUUAAUACCCAAGAUGAGUGGACGUUACUCGCAGAAUAAGCACCGGCUAACUCUGUGCCAGCCGCCGCCGUAA
Molecule: ribosomal RNA, 503 nt
Filed under: uncultured bacterium
Lineage: Bacteria
Description: partial 16S ribosomal RNA
Rfam family: Bacterial small subunit ribosomal RNA
Source: RNAcentral